AGAGUUUGAUCAUGGCUCAGAACGUACGCUGGCGGCACGCCUAACACAUGCAAGUCGAACGAAGUAGCAAUACUUAGUGGCAGACGGGUGAGUAACAUGUAGGUAUCUGCCCUUUGGCCUGGAAUAACACGAGGAAACUUGUGCUAAUACCGGAUAAGUCUUUACGGAGAAAGCUUUAUGCACCAUUGGAUGAGCCUGCACUUGAUUAGUUUGUUGGUGGGGUAAUGGCCUACCAAGACUGUGAUCAAUAGCUGAUUUGAGAGGAUGAUCAGCCACAUUGGGACUGAGACACGGCCCAAACUCCUACGGGAGGCAGCAGUGGGGAAUCUUGCACAAUGGAGGAAACUCUGAUGCAGCGAUGCCGCGUGAGUGAAGAAGGCCUUUGGGUUGUAAAGCUCUUUCGUCGGGGAAGAAAAUGACUGUACCCGAAUAAGAAGGUCCGGCUAACUUCGUGCCAGCAGCCGCGGUAAUACGAAGGGACCUAGCGUAGUUCGGAAUUACUGGGCUUAAAGAGUUCGUAGGUGGUUGAAAAAGUUGGUGGUGAAAUCCCAGAGCUUAACUCUGGAACUGCCAUCAAAACUUUUCAGCUAGAGUAUGAUAGAGGAAAGCAGAAUUUCUAGUGUAGAGGUGAAAUUCGUAGAUAUUAGAAAGAAUACCAAUUGCGAAGGCAGCUUUCUGGAUCAUUACUGACACUGAGGAACGAAAGCAUGGGUAGCGAAGAGGAUUAGAUACCCUCGUAGUCCAUGCCGUAAACGAUGUGUGUUAGACGUUGGAAAUUUAUUUUCAGUGUCGCAGCGAAAGCGAUAAACACACCGCCUGGGGAGUACGACCGCAAGGUUAAAACUCAAAUGAAUUGACGGGGACCCGCACAAGUAGUGGAGCAUGUGGUUUAAUUCGAAGAUACGCGCAGAACCUUACCAACACUUGACAUGUUCGUCGCGACUUUAAGAGAUUAAAGUUUUCGGUUCGGCCGGACGAAACACAGGUGCUGCAUGGCUGUCGUCAGCUCGUGUCGUGAGAUGUUGGGUUAAGUCCCGCAACGAGCGCAACCCUCACUUUUAGUUGCCAUCAUUAAGUUGGGCACUCUGAAAGAACUGCCAGUGAUAAGCUGGAGGAAGGUGGGGAUGACGUCAAGUCCUCAUGGCCCUUACGUGUUGGGCUACACACGUGCUACAAUGGUAUCUACAACAGGAAGCAAAACGGCGACGUUAAGCAAAUCCUCAAAAGAUACCUCAGUUCGGAUUGCACUCUGCAACUCGAGUGCAUGAAGCUGGAAUUACUAGUAAUCGUGGAUCAGCGUGCCACGGUGAAUGCGUUCCCGGGUCUUGUACACACCGCCCGUCACACCAUGGGAGUUGGUUCUACCUUAAGGCAAGGUUUAAAACCCUUGACCACGGUAUAAUCAGCGACUGGGGUGAAGUCGUAACAAGGUAACCGUA
This 1439-nucleotide ribosomal RNA is filed under the name uncultured bacterium. RNAcentral describes it as "bacterial SSU rRNA". It matches the Rfam family "Bacterial small subunit ribosomal RNA". The record is from RNAcentral.